Onychostruthus taczanowskii (white-rumped snowfinch) is the source of this 494-nucleotide long non-coding RNA. RefSeq lists it as uncharacterized. The transcript has 4 exons. Lineage: Eukaryota; Metazoa; Chordata; Aves; Passeriformes; Passeridae. The record is from RefSeq and is a predicted model, not a curated record.
AAAAUAAAUCUCCAUCAGGGUUUAUCCAUGAGCUGCAGAGCUCUUUGGUGAGGCCCAGAAUCAGUGAGGAAACUGCACUUUUCAGUGGCUCUGUGCAGGACAAAGGGUCUCAUCAUCUGCAGCCAUGGGAGAAACCUGGAUGGGGACCAAAUAAUGGGAAUAAUACCUUGCUUGCAGGAAGGACAAACAGGGACCUUCUGCCUUGCUUGGCUCCUCUGGGGUGAGCAGCCCAGGGGAGCUGCAGGAAGCUGAGGAGGGAGCUGCUCUGUGGGAACACGACAGAGGUCACUGGCACUGCCUUGGAUGGGUCCCUGUCUGGUGGUCACCCCACAGAAGAUGACGAGUCCUUCAAGGGCCACCAUGAGGGCCUCAGCUGGAAGCUUCUGGGGCAGAACAGCCUGGCACUGGGAUUCCCAUCUCCACUGCAGGACCCUGAACGUGGACAUACACCAAGCUAAACUUCCCUGGGAGCAGAACUUGAGACAUCAUUUCCA